GAUGAACGCUGGCGGCGUGCCUAAUACAUGCAAGUCGAGCGAACAGACGAGGAGCUUGCUCCUCUGACGUUAGCGGCGGACGGGUGAGUAACACGUGGAUAACCUACCUAUAAGACUGGGAUAACUUCGGGAAACCGGAGCUAAUACCGGAUAAUAUAUUGAACCGCAUGGUUCAAUAGUGAAAGACGGUUUUGCUGUCACUCAUAGAUGGAUCCGCGCCGCAUUAGCUAGUUGGUAAGGUAACGGCUUACCAAGGCAACGAUGCGUAGCCGACCUGAGAGGGGGAUCGGCCACACUGGAGCUGAGACACGGUCCAGACUCCUACGGGAGGCAGCAGUAGGGAAUCUUCCGCAAUGGGCGAAAGCCUGACGGAGCAACGCCGCGUGAGUGAUGAAGGUCUUCGGAUCGUAAAACUCUGUUAUUAGGGAAGAACAAAUGUGUAAGUAACUAUGCACGUCUUGACGGUACCUAAUCAGAAAGCCACGGCUAACUACGUG
Molecule: ribosomal RNA, 497 nt
Filed under: uncultured bacterium
Lineage: Bacteria
Description: partial 16S ribosomal RNA
Rfam family: Bacterial small subunit ribosomal RNA
Source: RNAcentral